Molecule: ribosomal RNA, 374 nt
Filed under: uncultured Pandoraea sp.
Lineage: Bacteria; Pseudomonadati; Pseudomonadota; Betaproteobacteria; Burkholderiales; Burkholderiaceae
Description: bacterial SSU rRNA
Rfam family: Bacterial small subunit ribosomal RNA
Source: RNAcentral
AUUGAAACGCUGGCGGCAUGCCUUACACAUGCAAGUCGAACGGCAGCACGGGUGCUUGCACCUGGUGGCGAGUGGCGAACGGGUGAGUAAUACAAUCGGAAUGUACCUUGUAGUGGGGGAUAGCUCGGCGAAAGCCGGAUUAAUACCGCAUACGCUCUGAGGAGGAAAGCGGGGGACCUUCGGGCCUCGUGCUACAAGAGCAGCCGAUGUCAGAUUAGCUUGUUGGUGAGGUAAAAGCUCACCAAGGCGACGAUCUGUAGCUGGUCUGAGAGGACGACCAGCCACAACUGGGACUGAGACACGGCCCAGACUCCUACGGGAGGCAGCAGUGGGGAAUUUUGGACAAUGGGCGAAAGCCUGAUCCAGCAAUGCCG